AUUGAACGCUGGCGGCAUGCUUUACACAUGCAAGUCGGACGGCAGCACAGAGAAGCUUGCUUCUUGGGUGGCGAGUGGCGAACGGGUGAGUAAUAUAUCGGAACGUACCGAGUAAUGGGGGAUAACUAAUCGAAAGAUUAGCUAAUACCGCAUAUUCUCUGAGGAGGAAAGCAGGGGACCUUCGGGCCUUGCGUUAUUCGAGCGGCCGAUAUCUGAUUAGCUAGUUGGUGGGGUAAAGGCCUACCAAGGCGACGAUCAGUAGCGGGUCUGAGAGGAUGAUCCGCCACACUGGGACUGAGACACGGCCCAGACUCCUACGGGAGGCAGCAGUGGGGAAUUUUGGACAAUGGGCGCAAGCCUGAUCCAGCCAUGCCGCGUGUCUGAAGAAGGCCUUCGGGUUGUAAAGGACCUUUGUCAGGGAAGAAAAGGCUGUUGCUAAUACCGACAGCUGAUGACGGUACCUGAAGAAUAAGCACCGGCUAACUACGUG
RNAcentral lists this ribosomal RNA (490 nucleotides) under uncultured bacterium. RNAcentral's name for it is "partial 16S ribosomal RNA". It matches the Rfam family "Bacterial small subunit ribosomal RNA", at positions 30 to 507 of the family's 1533-position model. The record is from RNAcentral.